This 253-nucleotide ribosomal RNA is filed under the name uncultured bacterium. RNAcentral describes it as "partial 16S ribosomal RNA". It matches the Rfam family "Bacterial small subunit ribosomal RNA", at positions 524 to 776 of the family's 1533-position model. The record is from RNAcentral.
UACGAAGGGGGCUAGCGUUGCUCGGGAAUGACUGGGCGUAAAGGGCGUGUAGGCGGGACGGUAAGGUCGGGCGUGAAAUCCCUAGGCUCAACCUAGGAACUGCACUCGAAACUACCAUUCUUGAGUGUCGGAGAGGAAAGCGGAAUUCCUGGUGUAGAGGUGAAAUUCGUAGAUAUCAGGAAGAACACCCGUGGCGAAGGCGGCUCUCUGGGACGGUACUGACGCUGAGAGCGAAAGCGUGGGAGCGAACAGG